UGGGGAAUAUUGGGCAAUGGACGCAAGUCUGACCCAGCGACGCCGCGUGCGGGAUGAAGGCCUUCGGGUUGUAAACCGCUUUCAGUAGGGAAGAAGCGAAAGUGACGGUACCUACAAAAGGAAGCACCGGCUAACUAUGUG
Molecule: ribosomal RNA, 141 nt
Filed under: uncultured bacterium
Lineage: Bacteria
Description: partial 16S ribosomal RNA
Rfam family: Bacterial small subunit ribosomal RNA
Source: RNAcentral